AGCUUUGCGCAGUGACAGUAUCGUAGCCAAUGAGGUUUAUCCGAGGCGCGAUUAUUGCUAACUGAAAUAAACAUGAAAUAGAAAGAACACUACAUAUUUUCACUGAGUUAAGGUAGAAAUUUUGAAUUGUUUACACUAAA
This is a small nuclear RNA of Mustela erminea (ermine), 140 nucleotides long. RefSeq annotates it as U4 spliceosomal RNA. The transcript has a single exon. The record is from RefSeq and is a predicted model, not a curated record. NCBI's taxonomy places the organism in Eukaryota, Metazoa, Chordata, Mammalia, Carnivora, Mustelidae.